GCUGGGAUUACAGGCAUGAGCCACCGCACCCAGCCAACAUUUAUAUAAAAUUUUAAAACAUACAAAGCAGUGUUAUAUAUUGUUUAGGAGUACAUGAACAUGUAGUACAUGUAGUAAACUCUGAAGAAUGCAUGAGAGCAAGAUAGGUUACUUCUGAGGGGCAGGCAUAUCUGUAGGCUUUCAGCUGUAUUGGUGAUGUUUAUUUUUGAAGUUGGGUGGUGGGUACACAGGAGUUCAUUGUAAUGUUCCUUUUUCUUCCCCCCUUAUGUCUUAAAUAUUGCAUAAUAAAACUUUUAAAAAGCUAUUAAAAAAGGAAAAGAAAACCACUUGGGAAGAUGUUCACCAGUCUGAUAAAUGAUUACCGUGUGUUGGUGAAGUAGGCUUGGGUGGAGUUCAUAGCCCCGGGAGAUUCUGAGAAAAUGUGCCCCUCGUAAAGUAUUUUUAAAUUAAGAGUUCGUAUGCGUCAACUCUCCACUGACAUUUGGAGGCCCUUGUUAGGGUUUAAGAGAAACAACAUGGAUUGGGAGCUCCAGUAGGUGGAAGGAAGCCCCUGAGAUGGUGUGACUGAUUCAUCACCACGUUCCAGGUUGUGAUUCUCAGCUUUGUAUUCAGUAGUGAUUAGUUUCUAGAGGACUGAAACUGGCUUAACAAAGUGUUUUGUAUAUAUACUAAUGAAUACACUAGAACACCAAUCAGUUGAUUUACAAUGAGACGUAUUAAAUGUUAGUCAACGCCAAGCUUGUAUUGUAUCAGAGUAGCUGGGUUUUUUUUUUCCCCAAAUUUACCUAUUUUCAGAGUUUUAAUAAGAUAUUCUACCAAAAAAGCCUGUUUAUUAGUGCAUAAUGUAAGUUGAUUAGGUUUAAUCAUUUUUAGGAACAUUUGUGAUCCAUUGAAACUCCUGAGGUCACACUUUUAAGAUUCUUAUAUGAAUUUUUGCUUUAGAUCUAGAAAGGGCUCUUCAUGACUUUGAAUUUUAGCUCAUGUAUUCCUGUUACUCCCAAAACUUUACAAACAUGAUUUUUUCAAGGUUUUUUUUUUUUUUUUUUAAGUUAUUAUAGCAGAACCUUCAUUUGGCUGAAACCCAUUAUGUUCCAUCUGGAGGCAGAAGAUUCUCUUGGUUUUAGAUUAGUUCUAGUUUUGUACUCAGUUAUCAGUUUGUGAGGUGAGGUACCUUGCCCUGUAUCCCAUUCAAGGCUGUAUUAUCAGUGUCAGUAAACAACUUCAUAAGAAUUUCUUGGGUUUACCAUCUAGCUUCAGUAUCAAAAUGAAUUUAUUAAUUAGUAGAGGCAAGAAUAGAGAGAGAACUUGAGUGUCCCCUGACUUUGUAACCUUUGACUCUUCCAGCUGUUGUCAGGAGAACAAAGGGGACAGCUUUUCUUAUGGUAAGGAGUCUUUCCAAAAUUGUUUUUAUGUUACUUUAUGUAAGAUAAACAAUCUUCAGAAUCCUUAGCUAUCCAUGAAUCUUACCAAUUAGAGGACUGCCUAUUGAUCAUUUACCAGUUUUUGAGUUGUCCUAAACCCAGGAGAGCACCAGGAGGCAAGCAAAUAAAGACUCCUGGUAGAUGAAAUGGACUGUCCUAAGUGCAUGUACAAAGCUCAUGUAUUUUGCUCGUAGCUGUCAUUCAGGGUCUCACUCAGACCCUUAUUUAGUUAAUUUUACGUAUAAUUCUAGCAAGUUCAGUAAAUUCGUAUUUCCAGCUGUCAGCUGAUAGGUAACAGGGACCUCCUAAAGUCAAGUGCCCUGACUGAUAGCAGCAAGAUGAGAAAGAAUCAUGAAAUCAUCAUCAAAAACUUAAAAAACACGGUGUGCGCCUCUCCUUGCCACCUGAAGUCCGAGUGUUUAACAGUGCUUAUGGGCACCUCUGGAGGUAAGGCGAGGCGCCUACUUACCAUGGAAGCAGCUCUAAAAGGGGAAUCUUUGAUGGAAGAUAAGAUGGAGGCAUCUUUUAAAGCCAGGUGGUUGUUACUUUCUGUGUGACUUAAUGAGCAGGUGAAUUUUGGCAAGUCCCAGGACACAAAGUGCGGUGGUGCUGUCUCACCUAGGUCCCUUCAUUGCCAACUUUUUAGGUUUCAUUAUGAUUAUAUCUCAGCACCUAGCACAGCGCCUGGCAAAUAGUGCUGCCGCACAUUUGUUGAAUAUACAUAUCAGUGUCUGCUUUGUGGCUUUUUGGCAUAGAGACUGAUGCCCCCAGGGGCACUGCUGUAUCUUAGCAUGGUUCUUCAGCUGGUCAUUCUGAGUGAUGCAGAAAAAAGAACAGGGUCUAAUCAUUUUAAAUUCCUCUAUUAUUAGACAACAUAAGAGGAAGAAUUAAUUAAUUGACUGGAAAAAUUCAACAUUUGGAGAAGAAAUGAUUGAUUUCUAUGUAUGUCUAUUUCAAAAUAAAUUCCAGGUGAAUUAAGGAUUUGUAUGUGAAUAAUUAAGAACAAAGUGAAUAUUCAUAUGAUCUUGACCUUUCUAAGAAAGAGUCAUAAGAAAAAGGGUAGUAGCUUUGAUUACAGUUCGUGGAUGUAGUACACAUAUUAUUCGAAACAAAAUUAUAAUGCAAACAAGUUGGGGCAAUAUUUGUAAUAUAGGAAAUGGUUACUAUUCUUAAGGUAGAAAGAGUUCUUACAAAUCAAUGACAAACUCCCCUAUAGACAAAUGAAAAGAAAAUUUAUUAAAGAAGUUAUGUAACUAGCCAGUAAAAGAAGAAAAAGUUUAACCUUGCAAAUAAUUAGAGUAUUCAGGACUUAGUAGAAAAGCUACAAUGAUAAAGACUGUAUUGGUAGGCCGGGUGCAGUGGCUCAUGCCUGUAAUCCGAGCACUUUGGGAGG
RNAcentral lists this long non-coding RNA (2814 nucleotides) under Homo sapiens (human). Its description in RNAcentral is "HSALNT0311499". Lineage: Eukaryota; Metazoa; Chordata; Mammalia; Primates; Hominidae. The record is from RNAcentral.